Long non-coding RNA from Xiphophorus maculatus (southern platyfish), 1988 nucleotides. RefSeq lists it as uncharacterized. The transcript is spliced from 4 exons. The record is from RefSeq and is a predicted model, not a curated record. Lineage: Eukaryota; Metazoa; Chordata; Actinopteri; Cyprinodontiformes; Poeciliidae.
GUGAUGUAAAAACUGCUUUUUGUAUUUACUUGAGUUAUUUUUAAAGUUUAUUUGAUCUGAAAUAUAUCAGGGUACAUUUCCACCUUUAACCUUUCACUUUCUGAUCUUAGGAAUCUGAAUUUUUCCUUGAAAUCACUUGAUAAAUGGAGGGAAAUGAUUGGAAAUGGAGUAUUUCUUACUUCUCCUUAAUAAGCAGCAUCUGUUUCCUGACUGUAACUUUAGUCCGUCUGAAUCCGGAUGUUUCCGGGUUUCCCAACUCAUUUCAGUCAGGCACUUCAUGGUCUUUGAUCUUAUUUUUUAUUUUUCUCCGAAAACAAAAAGGUGCCUGCAGAUUGAAACGUGCCACAUAUCAUCAAACAAGCAGAACUUAAGAACAGAGGUUACAUAAACAAAAGGUUAUUAUCUGUAUAGAGUCAGCAGAAGGUCAGGCCCAGAUUACAGUUCAUACAUCAGUUUUUGUGAACAUGUUUUCACUCAACCGUUUUUUGAUCUUUGCUCUUUCUCAUUUGACAUUUAAUUUUUUGCUGCUGGCUGAAAUCAUCUCAACUGUAAGUAAAGCUCAGAGUGAUAAAGACGGAGUCUAAUUGCGGCGCUCGCAUGUUUAUCACCACCGGUAAACUAAUCACCCGUAAAAACUCCCCAGAGAUGAUUUUACAAUCAUGCCCAACAGAUCUGUUUUCCCCGCUCUGCCGCAGGGAAGCCGGUUAAAGACGAUUCAUUCAUCAAGAGGCCAAAAUGGAGGUGAAACGUUCUCCAACGAGGCUCCAUCAUCCUCUGCUCCACUUCUCCUGGAGCAGGAGGAGACUCAAAGCGAAGGCGGUCAGAGCUCGCCGGAUUAAAACGACUCCCUCCUGAACCUCCAGUUCCUCCCCACGCACGGCUCCAGGCAGAAGGGAAAGCCGCCUCAUUGCUAUUCAGUCUAUUUUUACCUCCGCUCCUCCGCCCUGUCUCUACUGUAGCUCUUCCUUCUGCUGAUUCCCGGGAACAGAGUUACAGAAAUCCAGAAAGAGUCGGAUGCUUUUCAACAUUUCCUCUCCCCCACUGACGGUGGGCGGUGUGACUGAUGGGAGGGAAAACCCACCAGAACGCUUUCAGCAGAAAGAUCAAGAGCUGAGUUUCAAUAAAAACCUGCAUUAAUGUACAAAAUUAAAGGAGGAAAAACAGAAUACAGAGAUAAAUAAACAUUCACAGCCCAGGCCUGCAAUGAGACGUUAAUUAAUAUGUAAUAAAUCAAUAAUAUUCUGUAAUAAUAUGUAUCAAGGUUACAGGUUUGAGCUGUUUAUAUGACAGGAUAUAUAUAUUUGCACAUUUAUAUUAACCAUAAAUUUAAAUGUAAUUUAUUUUGAAAAACCAACACCAGGCUCCUUCCUUCCUGUCUGGCUGCCAGGCUGCUGUGCGCUGCAGGAACCGGCGGCAGUUCGAGGAAGAGAAAGCGACAGAAAGAGCUCAGCGAUCAGCAGGUCAGAUGUCGGCUCCAGUGAAUGAAACCCCCUGCCGGUGAGCGCAGAGCGGUUCUGUGGGUCAUUCAGAACCGGACCCCUGCAGACUGGUUCUGUGCCUCGUUCAGCCCAGUCUGAGGCCGUGAGUGAAGCUGGGCCUCGUUGGGCCAAUCAGCAGAGGAACAGACUGUACCGAUGCAGUCAUCUGGAGCAGCGCCGCGGAGCCGUGAGGAAGGGCAGAAAUGAACGCAGCUGGUGGAGGUAUUGACCCGAGGAGCCUCUCUACUGCCGACUGUUACAAAGCUGAGCCUGAAUGAAUAACGACAUAUUGAUCAGAACUGAAGAGAACGGAGGAGAAUCCGCCGACCUGAGCCAGGUGACAGCGCGGCUGAUUGAAGAUGAUGUGUUUACUGACAUGGGCCAUGGGUCAGCACCGCCACCGAGGACGGAUGACACCAGAACACGGCCGGCCGCUCCUGGUUCUGAGUCCAUUAACUGCAGAACAAGGCUCUUCAUGCUGGUGUUCACUGAGACACCGUAGAAAACAGA